Molecule: ribosomal RNA, 751 nt
Filed under: uncultured Methanospirillaceae archaeon
Lineage: Archaea; Methanobacteriati; Methanobacteriota; Methanomicrobia; Methanomicrobiales; Methanospirillaceae
Description: bacterial SSU rRNA
Rfam family: Archaeal small subunit ribosomal RNA
Source: RNAcentral
GGAAAUCUGCCCUGAAGUGGAGGAUAAUCCCGGGAAACUGGGGGUAAUACUCCAUAGUUCGUGACAACUGGAAUGUUUUGCGAACGAAAGAUCCGUCGCUUCAGGAUGAGUCUGCGGCCGAUUAGGUAGUUGUUGGGGUAACGGCCCAACAAGCCUGUCAUCGGUACGGGUUGUGGGAGCAAGAGCCCGGAGAUGGAUUCUGAGACACGAAUCCAGGCCCUACGGGGCGCAGCAGGCGCGAAAACUUUACCAUGCGGGCAACCGUGAUAAGGAAACCCCGAGUGCCAGCACAGGCUGGCUGUCCGCCAGUGUAAAUAACUGGUGAAGAAAGGGCCGGGCAAGACCGGUGCCAGCCGCCGCGGUAAUACCGGCGGCUCGAGUGGUGGCCACUAUUACUGGGCUUAAAGGGUCCGUAGCUGGAUAUACAAGUCUCUUGAGAAAUCCGCCGGCUUAACCGGUGGGCGUUCAGGGGAAACUGUAUUUCUAGGGACCGGGAGAGGUGAGAGGUACUGCCGGGGUAGGAGUGAAAUCCUGUAAUCCCGGUGGGACCACCUAUGGCGAAGGCAUCUCACCAGAACGGGUCCGACAGUGAGGGACGAAAGCUGGGGGAGCAAACCGGAUUAGAUACCCGGGUAGUCCCAGCUGUAAACGAUGCGCGUUAGGUGUGUCAGUGACCACGUGUCACUGAGGUGCCGAAGGGAAACCGUGAAACGCGCCGCCUGGGGAGUACGGUCGCAAGGCUGAAACUUAA